UACGUAGGGGGCUAGCGUUGUCCGGAUUUAUUGGGCGUAAAGAGCGUGUAGGCGGCCAGGUAGGUCUGCUGUGAAAACUCGAGGCUCAACCUCGAGACGUCGGCGGAAACCAUCUGGCUAGAGUCCGGAAGAGGAGAGUGGAAUUCCUGGUGUAGCGGUGAAAUGCGCAGAUAUCAGGAAGAACACCCGUGGCGAAGGCGGCUCUCUGGGACGGUACCGACGCUGAGACGCGAAAGCGUGGGGAGCAAACAGG
This 253-nucleotide ribosomal RNA is filed under the name uncultured bacterium. RNAcentral's name for it is "partial 16S ribosomal RNA". It matches the Rfam family "Bacterial small subunit ribosomal RNA", at positions 524 to 776 of the family's 1533-position model. The record is from RNAcentral.